UGAUCGGCUUGAACUGGCAAGGUAUACCUAUGGAACUGCUAUUGAAGUCUUCACAUGAGCUUAGGAUAAAGUUUCAUUUCUUCUUUUUUUUUUUCUUUAGCUUACAGUGCUUGAAUGAAACACUCACAUCAUGCACAAAAGAAGUAGGAAAGGCUGCUUUGGAAAAACAGAUAGAAGAAAUAAAUGAGCAAAUCAGAAAAGAGAAAGAGGAAGCUGAGGCUCGUAUGCGACAAGCAUCUAAGAACACAGAGAAAUCAACUGGUGGAGGUGGAAAUGGAAGUAAAAAUUGGUCAGAAGAUGAUCUACAAUUACUAAUUAAAGCUGUGAAUCUGUUCCCUGCUGGAACAAAUUCAAGGUACUGGUUUUAAUGAAACUUUUCUUCAACUCACACUGGAGCCUGGAGAUAAUGUAGACAGACUCCAAAUAGCAGCACUUGUUAUCACAGAAACUUGCAGACAUAAAUUCUGUGCCACAGUAGAAAA
Molecule: small RNA, 482 nt
Filed under: Pan troglodytes (chimpanzee)
Lineage: Eukaryota; Metazoa; Chordata; Mammalia; Primates; Hominidae
Description: retained intron
Source: RNAcentral